Molecule: long non-coding RNA, 294 nt
Organism: Heterocephalus glaber (naked mole-rat)
Lineage: Eukaryota; Metazoa; Chordata; Mammalia; Rodentia; Bathyergidae
Source: Ensembl
AAAUGACCCUCGUGUGCUUACAUCGGGAUUGGCUUCCUGGUGGUCUUUGGGUCUACGCCAUCUGGGCACAACAUUUGGGUGCUCGUCAGGGAUCCCCAAGAUCCUCAGGAUUCCCAUACCAGACGGUUGACACCUGCUGAUUUCAACUUCUUAACAGUAUACUUACCAUUGCUCAACUCCAUUGAUCUUUGGAAUAUUAGAAGCCUCCAGCUACCUAUAUGAUCACUGCUCUUUUGGUCUAAUCCAGGCUGUUUUAUAUGGACAUAUGAGAGAGAUGGAGUACAUACAUAGUUG